RNAcentral lists this unclassified non-coding RNA (295 nucleotides) under Hevea brasiliensis (rubber tree). The record is from RNAcentral. Lineage: Eukaryota; Viridiplantae; Streptophyta; Magnoliopsida; Malpighiales; Euphorbiaceae.
AGCUCAAAGUUAUGGUAAUUGAACAGUGAGCAAAUUUUCUUGACAAGAAUGAAAUGGUUGGUUAACUAAUUUUCUGGAGUGAAAUGAAAUAAGUUGUUAUCUGAGCCUGUGGUUAACCAUUGGUUCUGGUUCAGUCUAUCAGUUAUUAUUUUUCAACCAAAAUGGUACCUUUUGAAUUAUUGUUUUGCCUCUUGGGUGUUAGAAAAAAUCUCAUUUAAAUCAAGCACAUCUAUAGGUUUUCAAAUCAUUCAGCCACACAGAAAAGCAGAACAUGAAUAUCCAACUAUACUAUGGA